This 518-nucleotide ribosomal RNA is filed under the name uncultured Acidobacteriaceae bacterium. RNAcentral describes it as "bacterial SSU rRNA". It matches the Rfam family "Bacterial small subunit ribosomal RNA", at positions 117 to 668 of the family's 1533-position model. Lineage: Bacteria; Pseudomonadati; Acidobacteriota; Terriglobia; Terriglobales; Acidobacteriaceae. The record is from RNAcentral.
GUGACUACCUACCUUCUAGUGGGGGAUAACUCCGGGAAACCGGAGCUAAUACCGCAUAACAUCGCAAGAUCAAAGCAGCAAUGCGCUGGAAGAGGGGGUCGCGGCUGAUUAGCUUGUUGGCGGGGUAAUGGCCCACCAAGGCAAAGAUCGGUAUCCGGCCUGAGAGGGCGCACGGACACACUGGAACUGAAACACGGUCCAGACUCCUACGGGAGGCAGCAGUGGGGAAUUUUGCGCAAUGGGGGAAACCCUGACGCAGCAACGCCGCGUGGAGGAUGAAGUCCCUUGGGACGUAAACUCCUUUCGACCAAGACGAUAAUGACGGUACUGGUGGAAGAAGCACCGGCUAACUCUGUGCCAGCAGCCGCGGUAAUACAGAGGGUGCGAGCGUUGUUCGGAAUUAUUGGGCGUAAAGGGCGCGUAGGCGGCGCCACAAGUCACUUGUGAAAACUCUGGGCUCAACUCAGAGCCUGCAAGCGAAACUGUGGUGCUGGAGUAUGGGAGAGGUGCGUGGAAUU